This 81-nucleotide transfer RNA is filed under the name Pseudorhodobacter antarcticus. RNAcentral's name for it is "Pseudorhodobacter sp. ZS3-33 tRNA". It matches the Rfam family "tRNA". From Rfam's summary of the family: Transfer RNA (tRNA) molecules are approximately 80 nucleotides in length. The record is from Rfam by way of RNAcentral. Lineage: Bacteria; Pseudomonadati; Pseudomonadota; Alphaproteobacteria; Rhodobacterales; Paracoccaceae.
GCCCGAGUGGCGGAAUGGUAGACGCAGGGGAUUCAAAAUCCCCCGUCGCAAGACGUGGGGGUUCGAGUCCCUCCUCGGGCA